RNAcentral lists this ribosomal RNA (565 nucleotides) under Gambierdiscus excentricus. RNAcentral's name for it is "partial large subunit ribosomal RNA". It matches the Rfam family "Eukaryotic large subunit ribosomal RNA", at positions 2072 to 2638 of the family's 3401-position model. The record is from RNAcentral. Lineage: Eukaryota; Dinophyceae; Gonyaulacales; Pyrocystaceae.
UCGAUUGGACUCCUUUUCACACAAUGAACAACCAGCUUAGAACUGAUGCGGGCAAGGGGGAUCCGACUGUUUAAUUGAAACAAAGUAUUGCGAUGCCCUGAAAGGAUGUUGACACAAUGUGAUUUCUGCCCAGUGCUCUGAAUGUCAAAGUGAGGAGAUUCAACUAAGCGCGGGUAAACGGCGGGAGUAACUAUGACUCUCUUAAGGUAGCCAAAUGCCUCGUCAUCCAAUUAGUGACGCGCAUGAAUGGAUUAAUGAGAUUCCUACUGUCCCAAUCUACUGUCCAGCGAAACCACAGCCAAGGGAACGGGCUUGGGUGAGUCAGCGGGGAAAGAAGACCCUGUUGAGCUUGACUCUAAUCCGACUUUGUGAAAUGACUUAGGAGGAGUAGGAUAUGUGGGAGCUCAGGUGAUCUUGAAAUACCACUACUUUUAAUGUCACUUUACUUACUCUAUCCAACUGUGCCCUGCCUCACAGCAGGUUUUUGCUUUUAAGGUUGCUCUUUUGGCGUGUUGAUUUGCGUAGAAGACGUCGUCCGGUGGGGAGUUUGGCUGGGGCGGCACAU